RNAcentral lists this ribosomal RNA (468 nucleotides) under uncultured bacterium. RNAcentral describes it as "partial 16S ribosomal RNA". It matches the Rfam family "Bacterial small subunit ribosomal RNA", at positions 28 to 507 of the family's 1533-position model. The record is from RNAcentral.
GACGAACGCUGGCGGCGUGCUUAACACAUGCAAGUCGAACGGAAAGGCCCUGCUUUUGUGGGGUGCUCGAGUGGCGAACGGGUGAGUAACACGUGAGUAACCUGCCCUUGACUUUGGGAUAACUUCAGGAAACUGGGGCUAAUACCGGAUAGGAGCUCCUGCUGCAUGGUGGGGGUUGGAAAGUUUCGGCGGUUGGGGAUGGACUCGCGGCUUAUCAGCUUGUUGGUGGGGUAGUGGCUUACCCAGGCUUUGACGGGUAGCCGGCCUGAGAGGGUGACCGGCCACAUUGGUACUGAGGUACGCACCAGACGCCUACGGGAGGCAGCAGUGGGGAGUAUGGCACAAUGGGCGGAAGCCUGAGGCAGCAACCCCGCGUGCGGGAUGACGGCCUUCGGGUUGUAAACCGCUUUCGCCUGUGACGAAGCGUGAGUGACGGUAAUGGGUAAAGAAGCACCGGCUAACUACGUG